UACGAAGGGGGCUAGCGUUGCUCGGAUUGACUGGGCGUAAAGGGCGCGUAGGCGGAUAGUACAGUCAGGCGUGAAAUUCCUGGGCUCAACCUGGGGGCUGCGUUUGAUACGUAUUGUCUGGAGUUCGGAAGAGGGUCGUGGAAUUCCCAGUGUAGAGGUGAAAUUCGUAGAUAUUGGGAAGAACACCGGUGGCGAAGGCGGCGACCUGGUCCGAUACUGACGCUGAGGCGCGAAAGCGUGGGGAGCAAACAGGAUAGAA
Molecule: ribosomal RNA, 259 nt
Filed under: uncultured bacterium
Lineage: Bacteria
Description: partial 16S ribosomal RNA
Rfam family: Bacterial small subunit ribosomal RNA
Source: RNAcentral